UACGGAGGGUGCGAGCGUUGUUCGGAUUCAUUGGGCGUAAAGGGUGCGUAGGCGGCGCGGUAAGUCGGGUGUGAAAUCUCGGAGCUUAACUCCGAAACUGCAUUCGAUACUGCCGUGCUUGAGGACUGGAGAGGAGACUGGAAUUCAUGGUGUAGCAGUGAAAUGCGUAGAGAUCAUGAGGAAGACCAGUGGCGAAGGCGGGUCUCUGGACAGUUCCUGACGCUGAGGCACGAAGGCCAGGGGAGCAAACGGG
RNAcentral lists this ribosomal RNA (253 nucleotides) under uncultured bacterium. Its description in RNAcentral is "partial 16S ribosomal RNA". It matches the Rfam family "Bacterial small subunit ribosomal RNA", at positions 524 to 776 of the family's 1533-position model. The record is from RNAcentral.